AUUAUCUCACCUGGCUACUUUCCUGGACUUCAUUAUCUCCAUAAACUUGCUAUUCUACAAGAUAAAAUCAACUCUGAAACUCCUAUAUCCUCAACACCUCUCUUUCUCUGUGUGUCUCACUGUCUCUCUCUGUCUCUCCUUAACCUCCUACUUUCCAUCUUAGAAAUACUCUGUGUUGAUUCCAAGGCAGAAAAAUGGUAAUGACUAGACAAUGGGGGUUAGGUAACUUGCCCAGGGACACAUAGCUAGGAAGGAUGUAAGGACAGAUUUGAACCCAGAACUUCCUGUCUCUCAAUCCAAUGAGUCACCUAGCUGCCUUUAUGUUUCCCUCUUAUAGAAGAACACGGAGGGUGGACAGCGCCUACCAUGGGAAGAUACCAAGGAAUUCUCAUCAUCUUUCAUCUGGCUGCUUUCCUGGACUUUAUCAUUUCAAGAAACUCAUUAUUCUGCAAGAUGAAAUCUACUCUCAAACUCUCAUCUCCUCAGAUUAUUUCCUACUCCAGCUGCAGGACUUUAUCAUGCCUCCACUUUGGGGACCAUCUGCCCUACUGCUUUCCUGGUAGGCCACUGGGCUUUAACAUCUGUUCUACCACUGAACCUUUCUGACCAUGGAAACCCUGUCAUCUUUCCUGAUGCUGUACCCUCUAGAACUCUGGGCAUUUCCACCUUCCCAGAACUUGGAAGACCACAGAUCCUUUCCACUUCCACUUCACCUGAAUCUUCCUCUAUGGAUUGUGUCUAUCAGUACAAAGUGAGCUCUUUGAGGGGCUCUCACUUUUCUAGUGGUAUCUUCAGUGUUUUGUACACAGUAAAUGUUCAACAAAUGCUUUUUUGUUCCUUUC
RNAcentral lists this long non-coding RNA (842 nucleotides) under Monodelphis domestica (gray short-tailed opossum). RNAcentral's name for it is "lncRNA (ENSMODG00000046674.1)". The record is from RNAcentral. Lineage: Eukaryota; Metazoa; Chordata; Mammalia; Didelphimorphia; Didelphidae.